RNAcentral lists this ribosomal RNA (487 nucleotides) under uncultured bacterium. RNAcentral's name for it is "bacterial SSU rRNA". It matches the Rfam family "Bacterial small subunit ribosomal RNA", at positions 31 to 507 of the family's 1533-position model. The record is from RNAcentral.
GAACGCUAGCUACAGGCUUAACACAUGCAAGUCGAGGGGCAGCAUGAACUUAGCUUGCUAAGUUUGAUGGCGACCGGCGCACGGGUGAGUAACACGUAUCCAACCUGCCGUCUACUCUUGGACAGCCUUCUGAAAGGAAGAUUAAUACAAGAUGGCAUCAUGAGUCCGCAUGUUCACAUGAUUAAAGGUAUUCCGGUAGACGAUGGGGAUGCGUUCCAUUAGAUAGUAGGCGGGGUAACGGCCCACCUAGUCUUCGAUGGAUAGGGGUUCUGAGAGGAAGGUCCCCCACAUUGGAACUGAGACACGGUCCAAACUCCUACGGGAGGCAGCAGUGAGGAAUAUUGGUCAAUGGGCGAGAGCCUGAACCAGCCAAGUAGCGUGAAGGAUGACUGCCCUAUGGGUUGUAAACUUCUUUUAUAAAGGAAUAAAGUCGGGUAUGUAUACCCGUUUGCAUGUACUUUAUGAAUAAGGAUCGGCUAACUCCGUG